GUUAGGGUGGCAGAGCCCGGUAAAUUGCGUAAGACUUAAACCCUUGUCCCCAGAGGUUCAAUUCCUCUCCCUAACA
RNAcentral lists this transfer RNA (76 nucleotides) under Vulpes chama (Cape fox). RNAcentral's name for it is "tRNA-Leu". It matches the Rfam family "tRNA". Rfam says of the family: Transfer RNA (tRNA) molecules are approximately 80 nucleotides in length. Their secondary structure includes four short double-helical elements and three loops (D, anti-codon, and T loops). Further hydrogen bonds mediate the characteristic L-shaped molecular structure. tRNAs have two regions of fundamental functional importance: the anti-codon, which is responsible for specific mRNA codon recognition, and the 3' end, to which the tRNAs corresponding amino acid is attached (by aminoacyl-tRNA synthetases). tRNAs cope with the degeneracy of the genetic code in two manners: having more than one tRNA (with a specific anti-codon) for a particular amino acid; and 'wobble' base-pairing, i.e. permitting non-standard base-pairing at the 3rd anti-codon position. Lineage: Eukaryota; Metazoa; Chordata; Mammalia; Carnivora; Canidae. The record is from RNAcentral.